RNAcentral lists this ribosomal RNA (492 nucleotides) under uncultured bacterium. RNAcentral's name for it is "partial 16S ribosomal RNA". It matches the Rfam family "Bacterial small subunit ribosomal RNA", at positions 29 to 507 of the family's 1533-position model. The record is from RNAcentral.
AGUGAACGCUGGCGGUAGGCCUAACACAUGCAAGUCGAACGGCAGCACAGUAAGAGCUUGCUCUUACGGUUGGCGAGUGGCGGACGGGUGAAGAAUACAUCGGAAUCUACUUUUUCGUGGGGGAUAACGUAGGGAAACUUACGCUAAUACCGCAUACGACCUACGGGUGAAAGCAGGGGAUCUUCGGACCUUGCGCGAUUGAAUGAGCCGAUGUCGGGUUAGCUAGUUGGCGGGGUAAAGGCCCACCAAGGCGACGAUCCGUAGCUGGUCUGAGAGGAUGAUCAGCCAAACUGGAACUGAGACACGGUCCAGACUCCUACGGGAGGAAGCAGUGGGGAAUAUUGGACAAUGGGCGCAAGCCUGAUCCAGCCAUACCGCGUGGGUGAAGAAGGCCUUCGGGUUGUAAAGCCCUUUUGUUGGGAAAGAAAAGCAGCAGGUUAAUACCCCGCUGUUCUGACGGUACCCAAAGAAUAAGCACCGGCUAACUUCGUG